Molecule: signal recognition particle RNA, 301 nt
Filed under: Microcebus murinus (gray mouse lemur)
Lineage: Eukaryota; Metazoa; Chordata; Mammalia; Primates; Cheirogaleidae
Description: Metazoan signal recognition particle RNA (ENSMICG00000031246.2)
Rfam family: Metazoan signal recognition particle RNA
About the family: The signal recognition particle (SRP) is a universally conserved ribonucleoprotein. It is involved in the co-translational targeting of proteins to membranes.
Source: RNAcentral
ACUGUGCUUAUGGCACGUGCAUGUAGUCUCAGCUAGCCAGGGAGCCUGGGACUAGAGGAUCACUUGAACCCAGGUGUUCUGAGCUAUAGUGUCCUAUGCCUAUCGAGUGUCUGCACUAAUCUGGGCAUCAAUAUGGUGACCCUCGCCCAGGAGCGGGGACCACCAGGUUGCCUAAGAGGGGGUGAAUCAGCCCAGAUUGGAAAUGAAGCAGGUCAAAACUCUUGUGCUGACCAGUAAAGGGAUUGCCUCUGUGAAUAGCCCCUGCACUCCAGCCUUGACAACACAGUGAAACUCCAGCUCU